GAUGAACGCUGGCGGCGUGCCUAAGACAUGCAAGUCGAGUGGGUUUAGGCCCACGGCAAACGGGUGAGUAAUACCUAGGAACUUGGCCUUAGUUGAGCAUAACCUACCGAAAGGUAGAGCAAUUCUCAAUGUGAUCGCAAGAUUAAAGUCGCAAGACGCUAAGGAAGAGGCCUGGGCACCAUCAGCUUGUUGGUAAGGUAAAAGCUUACCAAGACUAUGACGGUUAGGGGUCCCGAGAGGGAUAACCCCCACACUGGAACUGAGACACGGUCCAGACUCCUACGGGAGGCAGCAGUUUGGAAUUUUGGACAAUGGGCGAAAGCCUGAUCCAGCAAUGCCGCGUGUGUGAAGAAGGUCUUCGGAUUGUAAAGCACUUUCGGCGGGGACGAUGAUGACGGUACCCGCAGAAGAAGCCCCGGCUAACUUCGUGCCAGCCGCCGCCGUAA
Molecule: ribosomal RNA, 446 nt
Filed under: uncultured bacterium
Lineage: Bacteria
Description: partial 16S ribosomal RNA
Rfam family: Bacterial small subunit ribosomal RNA
Source: RNAcentral